UUGCUGCUGCGGUGCCAUGGAGGGGAUCCCGGCUUUGCUGACAUAUGUUGAAUUGGCCUUUCGAUAGAAUCGCUGCAAAAUGGAGGUCGAUUUGAGUUGGUUGAAGACGUCUACUAAUGGUGAACGUCUUAACAUACUAUGCUGGUGUCUUGCAAGCUGAGAGCAUCCAUGAAGUAACUUGAAGCAAAUGAGGUGUGCCUACUUUAAUGGUUUGAGCUGAAGAUUUCACCAAUGAUGGGUCAUUGGAGCAGGUGGUCCUUCAUCUUUGGCUCAUGUCUCCAUUUACUUGGCAUCACUUGAUGGAAUAAUAUGACUUUCAGUCUAAAAGACCAAGUGAAGACGCGUAAAACAUUCCUGCUGGAACAUUCCAUCCCUGUGUUGGUGAAAACUAGAUUGUGAAAAUCAAGAGGACAAGAUGUCACACAGGCACGGUUGUGAUCGUUGACUUUGGAGGACAGUUUGCAUGAACACGGUCAGCUGAGGAAACUGCUGGAUCUGUCAGACUGACUAUGAAGCCAUGAAGUCCUUGCUGAGGCCCAGUGGAUAUCAAGAACAUGUCUAUGUUGGGCUAACAUUGUGGAAAUAAAAUAUCAAAAGAAAAGCUU
This is a long non-coding RNA of Pseudoliparis swirei, 605 nucleotides long. RefSeq lists it as uncharacterized. Lineage: Eukaryota; Metazoa; Chordata; Actinopteri; Perciformes; Liparidae. The transcript is spliced from 12 exons. The record is from RefSeq and is a predicted model, not a curated record.